Molecule: ribosomal RNA, 403 nt
Filed under: Ventricleftida sp.
Lineage: Eukaryota; Cercozoa; Thecofilosea; Ventricleftida
Description: partial small subunit ribosomal RNA
Rfam family: Eukaryotic small subunit ribosomal RNA
Source: RNAcentral
AUUCCAGCUCCAAUAGCGUAUAUUAAAGUUGUUGCAGUUAAAAAGCUCGUAGUUGGAUUUCUGGCCGGUUCGCUGCGCCUGGCCCGCCUGCGUUAGCAGUGUGAGUGCCGGUUGCGCGGUAGCCAUCCUUCUGGAGAACGGGCCUGCCCUUCAUUGGGUGGGGUCCGCGACCCAGAUCCUUAACUUUAGAAAAAAUUAGAGUGUUUAAAGCAGGCAGUUGCUCUGAAUACAUUAGCAUGGAAUAAUGAUAUAGGACUUUGGUUCUAUUUUGUUGGUUUCUAGGACUGAAGUAAUGAUUGAUAGGGAUAGUUGGGGGUGCUAGUAUUGAGCGGCCAGAGGUGAAAUUCUUGGAUUCGCUCAAGACUAACUUAUGCGAAAGCAUUCACCAAGGAUGUCUUCAUCA